GCCCUUGUAGCUCAGUGGAUAGAGCACCAGUUUCCUAAACUGUUGGUCGGCAGUUCGAGUCUGCCCGAGGGCACCA
Molecule: transfer RNA, 76 nt
Filed under: Chlorobium chlorochromatii CaD3
Lineage: Bacteria; Pseudomonadati; Chlorobiota; Chlorobiia; Chlorobiales; Chlorobiaceae
Description: tRNA-Arg (CCT) (tRNA-Arg-CCT-1-1)
Rfam family: tRNA
About the family: Transfer RNA (tRNA) molecules are approximately 80 nucleotides in length. Their secondary structure includes four short double-helical elements and three loops (D, anti-codon, and T loops).
Source: RNAcentral